CCACAUCCGCAUCCUUUGCUGAGGAUACGGUUAACGGAGCGAAAGCGACGUUCAACCGCAAAACAAGCAGAGGGGGCUUAGUGGUGGGGUGACUGCGUACCUUUUGUAUAAUGGGUCAGCGACUUAUAUUCUGUAGCAAGGUUAACCGAAUAGGGGAGCCGGAGGGAAACCGAGUCUUAAUUGGGCGUUAAGUUGCAGGGUAUAGACCCGAAACCCGGUGAUCUAGCCAUGGGCAGGUUGAAGGUUGGGUAACACUAACUGGAGGACCGAACCGACUAAUGUUGAAAAAUUAGCGGAUGACCUGUGGCUGGGGGUGAAAGGCCAAUCAAACCGGGAGAUAGCUGGUUCUCCCCGAAAGCUAUUUAGGUAGCGCCUCGUGAAUUCAUCUCCGGGGGUAGAGCACUGUUUCGGCUAGGGGGCCAUCCCGGCUUACCAACCCGAUGCAAACUGCGAAUACCGGAGAAUGUUAUCACGGGAGACACACGGCGGGUGCUAACGUCCGUCGUGAAGAGGGAAACAACCCAGACCGCCAGCUAAGGUCCCAAAGUCAUGGUUAAGUGGGAAACGAUGUGGGAAGGCCCAGACAGCCAGGAUGUUGGCUUAGAAGCAGCCAUCAUUUAAAGAAAGCGUAAUAGCUCACUGGUCGAGUCGGCCUGCGCGGAAGAUGUAACGGGGCUAAACCAU
Molecule: ribosomal RNA, 684 nt
Filed under: Salmonella enterica
Lineage: Bacteria; Pseudomonadati; Pseudomonadota; Gammaproteobacteria; Enterobacterales; Enterobacteriaceae
Also listed under: 1 other name
Description: partial 23S ribosomal RNA
Rfam family: Bacterial large subunit ribosomal RNA
Source: RNAcentral